RNAcentral lists this ribosomal RNA (253 nucleotides) under uncultured bacterium. RNAcentral describes it as "partial 16S ribosomal RNA". It matches the Rfam family "Bacterial small subunit ribosomal RNA", at positions 524 to 776 of the family's 1533-position model. The record is from RNAcentral.
UACGUACUGUGCGAACGUUAUUCGGAAUUACUGGGCUUACAGGGUGCGUAGGCGGCCAAUUAAGUAGGGUGUGAAAGGCCUCGGCCUAACCGAGGCAUUGCGCUCUAAACUGUUUGGCUUGAGUGAGAUAGGGGUGUGCGGAACUUCCAGUGGAGCGGUGAAAUGUGUUGAUAUUGGAAGGAACGCCGGUGGCGAAAGCGGCACACUGGGUCUCAACUGACGCUGAGGCACGAAAGCCAGGGGAGCGAACGGG